This is a non-coding RNA of Phascolarctos cinereus (koala), 539 nucleotides long. The record is from RefSeq and is a predicted model, not a curated record. NCBI's taxonomy places the organism in Eukaryota, Metazoa, Chordata, Mammalia, Diprotodontia, Phascolarctidae.
GAGUCGAGAAGGGGGGGGGAGAGGAGAAAAGAAAGAACAAGGUCAAGUGAAAAAGAGCAUCUCGACCCCUCCCUUUUCCAUGGAGGCCAAUGGUGCCCAUAUCUAACACUAGGGCCUCCAGAAGAGUGGGUGAUUCACACAGCCUUACAACCCCUAUCCACUGUCCACUUGGCUUCCUGGGUACCCAUUCUCUUGCCAGAGUGAAUGAGAAGAGGCUGACACCAAGACACACACAUACUAGCAAGUGAAUCAGAAAAAGACUUCAUGCAGAAAGUCAUGGCUGAACCUGCAUCUUGAAGGAAGGAGGCAACAAGGUGAUUCACUACAGGACCCUGAAUUGCUCGGAGACACGGGACCCAGAUUUCCAGCAGGUUGGGGCAACUUUAUCUCUAAGAUUUUCCAUCCUGACUCUUAUCCAUGGUGGCUAUCUAUCCCAGAAGUUAGUCAUCUGCAGAUGUGGUGAGGCUGACCUCUAUGCCUAGGGUUCAUCACUUCUUUUGUUUCACGAACCCCUUUGACAGUCUGUGGUGAAGCCUAGG